GACGAACGCUGGCGGCGUGCUUAACACAUGCAAGUCGAACGGUAAGGCCCUUUCGGGGGUACACGAGUGGCGAACGGGUGAGUAACACGUGGGUGAUCUGCCCUGCACUUUGGGAUAAGCCUGGGAAACUGGGUCUAAUACCGGAUAGGACUACGCGAUGCAUGUCGUGUGGUGGAAAGCUUUUGCGGUGUGGGAUGGGCCCGCGGCCUAUCAGCUUGUUGGUGGGGUGAUGGCCUACCAAGGCGACGACGGGUAGCCGGCCCGAGAGGGUGUCCGGCCACACUGGGACUGAGAUACGGCCCAGACUCCUACGGGAGGCAGCAGUGGGGAAUAUUGCACAAUGGGCGCAAGCCUGAUGCAGCGACGCCGCGUGGGGGAUGACGGCCUUCGGGUUGUAAACCCCUUUCAGCACAGACGAAGCGUAAGUGACGGUAGGUGCAGAAGAAGCGCCGGCCAACUACGUG
This 464-nucleotide ribosomal RNA is filed under the name uncultured bacterium. RNAcentral describes it as "partial 16S ribosomal RNA". It matches the Rfam family "Bacterial small subunit ribosomal RNA", at positions 28 to 507 of the family's 1533-position model. The record is from RNAcentral.